GCUUAACACAUGCAAGUCGAACGAAGCACUUUAAUCGAUUUCUUCGGAUUGAAAUUUUAGUGACUGAGUGGCGGACGAGUGAGUAACGCGUGGGUAACCUGCCUCACACAGGGGGAUAACAGUUGGAAACGGCUGCUAAUACCGCAUAAGCGCACAGUACCGCAUGGUACGGUGUGAAAAACUCCGGUGGUGUGAGAUGGACCCGCGUCUGAUUAGCUAGUUGGCAGGGUAGCGGCCUACCAAGGCGACGAUCAGUAGCCGACCUGAGAGGGUGACCGGCCACAUUGGGACUGAGACACGGCCCAAACUCCUACGGGAGGCAGCAGUGGGGAAUAUUGCACAAUGGGGGAAACCCUGAUGCAGCGACGCCGCGUGAGCGAAGAAGUAUUUCGGUAUGUAAAGCUCUAUCAGCAGGGAAGAAGAAAUGACGGUACCUGACUAAGAAGCACCGGCUAAAUACGUGCCAGCAGCCGCGGUAAUACGUAUGGUGCAAGCGUUAUCCGGAUUUACUGGGUGUAAAGGGAGCGCAGGCGGAAGGCUAAGUCUGAUGUGAAAGCCCGGGGCUCAACCCCGGUACUGCAUUGGAAACUGGUCAUCUAGAGUGUCGGAGGGGUAAGUGGAAUUCCUAGUGUAGCGGUGAAAUGCGUAGAUAUUAGGAGGAACACCAGUGGCGAAGGCGGCUUACUGGACGAUAACUGACGCUGAGG
This 707-nucleotide ribosomal RNA is filed under the name uncultured Lachnospiraceae bacterium. Its description in RNAcentral is "bacterial SSU rRNA". It matches the Rfam family "Bacterial small subunit ribosomal RNA", at positions 46 to 751 of the family's 1533-position model. Lineage: Bacteria; Bacillati; Bacillota; Clostridia; Lachnospirales; Lachnospiraceae. The record is from RNAcentral.